GAUGAACGCUAGCGAUAGGCUUAACACAUGCAAGUCGAGGGGCAGCAUGGUCUUAGCUUGCUAAGGCUGAUGGCGACCGGCGCACGGGUGCGUAACGCGUAUGCAACUUGCCUCACAGAGGGGGAUAACCCGUCGAAAGACGGACUAAUACCGCGUACACUCUAUGUUGGGCAUCCAAUGUAGAGGAAAUGAAAUUCGCUGUGAGAUAGGCAUGCGUCCCAUUAGCUAGUUGGUGAGGUAACGGCUCACCAAGGCGACGAUGGGUAGGGGAACUGAGAGGUUGAACCCCCGCACUGGUACUGAGACACGGACCAGACUCCUACGGGAGGCAGCAGUGAGGAAUAUUGGUCAAUGGGCGAGAGCCUGAACCAGCCAAGUCGCGUGAAGGAUGACUGUCUUAUGGAUUGUAAACUUCUUUUAUACGGGAAUAACAAGAGUCACGUGUGGCUCCCUGCAGGUACCGUAUGAAUAAGCAUCGGCUAACUCCGU
Molecule: ribosomal RNA, 489 nt
Filed under: uncultured bacterium
Lineage: Bacteria
Description: partial 16S ribosomal RNA
Rfam family: Bacterial small subunit ribosomal RNA
Source: RNAcentral